Molecule: ribosomal RNA, 433 nt
Filed under: uncultured Alphaproteobacteria bacterium
Lineage: Bacteria; Pseudomonadati; Pseudomonadota; Alphaproteobacteria
Description: bacterial SSU rRNA
Rfam family: Bacterial small subunit ribosomal RNA
Source: RNAcentral
GAGUUUGAUCCUGGCUCAGAACGAACGCUGGCGGCAGGCUUAACACAUGCAAGUCGAACGCACCCUUCGGGGUGAGUGGCAGACGGGUGAGUAACGCGUGGGAAUCUACCCAACCCUACGGAACAACUCCGGGAAACUGGAGCUAAUACCGUAUACGCCCUUUUGGGGAAAGAUUUAUCGGGGAUGGAUGAGCCCGCGUUGGAUUAGCUAGUUGGUGGGGUAAAGGCCUACCAAGGCGACGAUCCAUAGCUGGUCUGAGAGGAUGAUCAGCCACAUUGGGACUGAGACACGGCCCAAACUCCUACGGGAGGCAGCAGUGGGGAAUAUUGGACAAUGGGCGCAAGCCUGAUCCAGCCAUGCCGCGUGAGUGAUGAAGGCCCUAGGGUUGUAAAGCUCUUUCAACGGUGAAGAUAAUGACGGUAGCCGAGAAGAA